AUUGAACGCUGGCGGCAGGCCUAACACAUGCAAGUCGAACGAGUGGCGGACGGGGCAGUAAUGUCGGGGAAUCUGCCUGAUGGAGGGGUAUAACUACUGGAAACGGUAGCUAAUACCGCAUACCAUCGGAUGUGCACAGAUGGGAUUAGCUAGUAGUGGGGGUAAAGGCUCACCUAGGCGAUGAUCCCUAGCUGGUCUGAGAGGAUGACCAUCCACGCUGGAACUGCGACCCGGUCCAAACUCCUUCUGGAGGCAGCAGUUGGGAAGAUUGCACAAUUGGAGCAAGUCUGAUGCAGCCAUGGCGCGUGUAUGAAGAAGUCCUUCGGGUUGUAAAGUACUUUCAGCGGGUAGGCGUUACCCGCAGAAGAAGCACCGGGUAAACCCGUGCGAGCAGCCGCGGUAAUAC
RNAcentral lists this ribosomal RNA (406 nucleotides) under uncultured bacterium. RNAcentral's name for it is "partial 16S ribosomal RNA". It matches the Rfam family "Bacterial small subunit ribosomal RNA", at positions 30 to 526 of the family's 1533-position model. The record is from RNAcentral.